GACGAACGCUGGCGGCGUGCUUAACACAUGCAAGUCGAACGGAAAGGCCCUGCUUUUGUGGGGUGCUCGAGUGGCGAACGGGUGAGUAACACGUGAGUAACCUGCCCCUGACUUUGGGAUAACUUCAGGAAACUGGGGCUAAUACCGGAUAGGAGCUCCUGCUGCAUGGUGGGGGUUGGAAAGUUUCGGCGGUUGGGGAUGGACUCGCGGCUUAUCAGCUUGUUGGUGGGGUAGUGGCUUACCAAGGCUUUGACGGGUAGCCGGCCUGAGAGGGUGACCGGCCACAUUGGGACUGAGAUACGGCGCAGACUCCUACGGGAGGCAGCAGUGGGGAAUAUUGCACAGUGGGCGGAAGCCUGAUGCAGCAACGCCGCGUGCGGGAUGACGGCCUUCGGGUUGUAAACCGCUUUCGCCUGUGACGAAGCGUGAGUGACGGUAAUGGGUAAAGAAGCACCGGCUAACUACGUG
RNAcentral lists this ribosomal RNA (468 nucleotides) under uncultured bacterium. Its description in RNAcentral is "partial 16S ribosomal RNA". It matches the Rfam family "Bacterial small subunit ribosomal RNA", at positions 28 to 507 of the family's 1533-position model. The record is from RNAcentral.